RNAcentral lists this long non-coding RNA (5143 nucleotides) under Ananas comosus (pineapple). RNAcentral describes it as "long non-coding RNA (ACOM_LNC038070)". Lineage: Eukaryota; Viridiplantae; Streptophyta; Magnoliopsida; Poales; Bromeliaceae. The record is from RNAcentral.
CUAAUAGUCAGCUCAAAAUAUUUAAACCUAGUUAACACACUCUCACCAUUUUAAAUCAUGACGUUUUCUCGUCAACCUGAUCACACACAGCUAAAAAUCAUCAAAUAAUGUGACGCCCACCUCACAUUUAGGGGUGGCAAUCCAACUCGUUGUUCGCGAGCCAGCUCGUAUUCGGCUCUAAAUAAACUAGAGAUCGGCUCGCUCGUUUAGUAAACGAGCCGAAUACAAGCUGAAUUUUUUAGCUCGUUUAAUAAACGAGCUGAACACGAGUUGGGGUCAGCUCGCUCGUGUUCGGCUCGAUGAGAGCUCGAAUAUAUAUAUUUUAUAUUUAUAUAAUUUAUUUAAUUUAUAUUUUUAUAUAUAAAUAAAUAAUUAUAUAUAUUAUAUAUUUUUAUUAUUUAAUUUUUAGUAAAAUAAAAAUAUAAAUACGAGCUUAAUUAUAAAAAGACUCAUUUAUAUGUAAAGUUUCAACUAUUAGAUCAAACUCUAAUGGAUAACAUUUUAUAUAUAUUUAAUCUAAUCCCUUUUUAAUUUAUUGUUCGUUGGCCAGCUCGUGAGCCAGCUCGUGUUCGGCUCGGUAAUAAACGAGUCGAACACGAGCUGAAUUUUUCGGCUCGAUACUUUAAUAAGCCAGCUCGUGUUCCGCUCGUUUAAUAAACAAGCCGAACACAAGCUGACCCUAGCUCGCACGUAUUCGGCUCGUUUACACCCCUACUCACAUUUUCCGCUAAUGAACCAGCUUUGAUGCCAACUAUAAUAACCCAACUCAUUAACACUAAAGACUUCCGCUAGUGAACCAGUUUUGCUGCCAACUAUAAUAACCCAACCCACUAACACUAAAGACUGCUAUAACCAAACCACCGACCUAAAAUAUUUAAAUCUAGUUAUUUAUUAUAUAUUAUGCGUCCGUCACAUAUAGGCCUCCCGCGCUUUUUCAUAUUAUUGAAUAUGAAACUAUUUAAGAGUAUAGCUAAAUAUAAGAUGUAAAUUUUGCAUUCUAGCCAUCCAAAUGCUAAUAUUUACUUACUAGUCUUAACAACUUCUAAUCAUAGAAAGCUUUGUAUGGGCAUAGUAGAUGUGAGCAUUACUCUACUUACAUCGGCUUUUGAAUAUACAAAUAACAUUAUACACAUGUGUACAUUCGAAAAACAAUUAUUGUGCAGUACAAUGAGUGCAGUGCGUUUGUAAUCAUCACGAACAGCCACUUUUGGAUAUACAAAUAACAUUACGCGUUUGUCACUGCAUGAGCAAUUCUUGGGCCAUGCAAUGAGUGCAUUGGCGCUGUGAAUGUCCCGCGUGAUCGGUCUCUCACGUUGCCACGUCACCAGUACAGCAGUUUUAUUACCCACACAAACGGAGACCCUUCCGUACAAUUUUCCACCCUUACCCCUCAUUCCUCCAUCCAACGGUGCAAAAUCGCUGCGCGUGUGACCCAACCACAGAAAAUUAAGACUCUCAAAGUUUCAGCUGAACUAAAAUUCGAAUAAAAUUAUUUUUUAUUACCAUUUGAUGAAUAAAAAAUUGGUAAUUUUAAUACUCUAGUCAUCGUUUUUUUAAAUUCAUUUCAUCAAAAAUUUUAGGCACUAUCUACAAUGCAAGAUCGCGAGAGAGCGUAUGUGAGAUGUGAAAAUUAGGAUUAUCAACAAGCUAAACAAGAGCGAAGUGAGGCCGGCUCAUAUUCGUUCGUUUAUUAAACAAGAAGAAUACAAGUUGACUUGUUAAAAUAUCGAGCUAAAAAAUUUAGCUCAUAUUCUAUUAAUGAGCUGAAUAUGAGUUAGUUCGCGAAUAGUAAGUUAGAUUGGCAGCUUUAUUACUGGAUGCAAAUUUAUAAAAAAUUAAAAUCUUAAUCUAAUAAUCAAAAUUUAGAAAAUAUAAAUCUUUUUAUAUUUAGAUUGGCCUAAAAAUUUAAAUAGUAGAAAUUUAUAAUAUAAAUAAAAUAUAUCGAGCUAAAUACUAGCGAACUGACCUUAACUUGUUGUGUUCGACUCAUAAGGUUUCGAACUGAAAAUUUUAGUUUGUAUUCAGCUCGUUUAUUAAACGAGCAAUCGAUCUCGAGUUCAUUUCAAGCCCAACGAGAACCGAUACAGCGAGCUAGAUUGCCAGCCCUAUCUACAGUAAAGUCAAUUAUAACAUUUAAAAAAAAUAAAAUUACAAUCAAAGCUAAUUUAUGAUAAAUAAAAUAAUAAAAAUAGUAUUUAUGGCCGAAAAUCACCUCCCUCAGCUUUUGGUGCAAAAAAUAUCCCCUAAUUGUACCACUGCAUCCCAUUGCUAAAUAUUUGAGGUCCCAAAUAUUUGCCGUAGAAUUUUGUGAUUUGUUAACGAAUUUACAUAUAUAGUUCUUAAAGUACUUGUAUAAGGUAAAUUUAAGCUCUCAAUAACGUGUAUAAGGUAAAUUUAUACUGCAUCCUUAUGCUAGAAGUUUCAAAUAUUUUUAAUUAUAUUUAACGAUAUGAAUCAUCAAUUUAAAAGCUCCAUCAUAAAAAAUAAUUUAUAAGUAUAAAGAUAUUUAUACUCAUAAAAGUAGAGUCCGGCUACUAUACUUUUAUGAGUAUUGGCUUCUUUAUACUCAUAAGUUUUCGGUCCUUAGAUUUAUUCUAUUGAUCAUUUCCACCCAUUAGAUCAUACUAUUCAACCAACUACCCACUUAACCCUAGGGGACCACUAUUAUUCUAAGUGGGACCACCAUCAUCCUAACCACAUAUCCCAUCACUCAACGGUUCAAAAUUUAUAAGUACAAGGAGAUUUAUACUCAUAAGAGUAUAAUAGUCCAAGCCCAUAAAAGCAUAGUAACUCUAGUGUAAUUUUAGAGGCCCACACUAUCAUUUCAAGAUGAUAGAAGUCUUUGAUAUAUUAAGUCAUUUUAGAUGAUUAAAAUUCUAAAUCGAUAAUUGACAUCGUUGAAAUUGAUCUACAUCAUUAGACAUACUUACAAAUUAAAUAUUGUAAUUUUAAAAAAUAAUUAUGAAAUCCAUCCAUUUGUUUUCGAUGAUAAAGCUUCCUAAUUGACGAUCGGUAUCGUUGAAUAUUUUACUACUUGAAGCAUCUAGAAACCGAAUUUUAUUUUUUUUAUUUUUUUCAAUAUUAUUUUAUUUUCCAUCAAAUGGACACAAAAAUGAAUAUCUUUUAAAAAGUCUAAAAAUAAAUAUCAUUUAAAAAAUGAUAAUAGGUAUCUUAUAAUCAAGAUCGAGAGUAUAAAUUUUGUUUUAAAUAAUUUAAAAAAUAUUUUAAUCAAAAUUCAAUUGAUUUGAAUAUUUUCACGCCGUUAAACAAAAAAACAUUUCAUAUUGACCAUUAAAAUUAUAAAUUUUAAAACCCUUUGAGCAUUAAGUCAAUAAUAUUGAAAAGAUUUAUAAUUUUAUUUUUAGAUACUUCAAGUGGUAUAAAUCAUAUUUAACGAUGCCGAUCAUCGAUUUGAAGGCUCCAUCAUCGAAAACAAAUAAGUGGUAACAAAAUUUGUUUACCACCGAUAGCAUUUCAGUCCAAUUAUAUAUAUAUAUAUAUAUAUAUAUAUAUAGUGCGGCUAGGAUGCUUAUGGAAGCACGGAGGGCUCCGUGCUUCCACUUUGUUUUCGAUGUUCGGACUUACGAAUCGACGAUCGGCACUUUUAGACUUGAUCUAGAGUAUUUGAAGUAUCUAGAAAAUAAAUUUUGCGAUUUUUCGAUAUCAUUUGCCUAGUGAUCUAAAUGGCUCAAAAUCAACGGCUGAAACUAAAAAUCUUACAAAAUAUGAUGAUAUGACAUUAAAAUUUUAGAUCAAAGUUAUUGAUCUUGUUUUAUAUGGUAUAAAGAAUUUUUUAUCAAAAUUCAUGUGAUUUGGAUAUUUCUACACCGUUAAACUUGCAACCGGCUCACCACGGCCAUUAAAAUUAAUGAUUUUAAGCCCCUCCGAUCACUAGGCAAAUGAUAUCGAAAAAUUACAAAAUUUAUUAGGUACUCCAAAUACUCUAGAUCAACUCUAACAAAGCCGAUCGUCGAUUCGAAAGUCUGAACUUUGAAAACAACUAGCACGGAGGGCUCCGUGCUUCCAUAAGCAUACCAGCCCACUAUAUAUAUAUAUAUAUAUAAAACUCAUCUCUCGCAUGGUCUAAUUUCUACGACAUUUAUUUUUUAUCAAACAAACAGUGAAACUGAAAUAACUUCAGUUCCAUAAUUAUACAAAUAAAUAAAAAAUAAUAAUAAUUUUUAUCUAAAUUUUAAUUUAUCUCAAAACUUAUUUAAAGCUAACUUUGCUGAUCAGUAAUAAAACAAAUCCAUUAUUAUACCCAAAAAAAAAAAGCAAUAAAAAAAAGGUUGGCGUAUUUUCGUAACCUUAACCCCCAAAAAAGCAACAAUCCUCGCGGACGUACUCCGUCGGAUAAUGCUAAAGAAUUUUUAAACUGAGUUUACAAGAGCUCAUCCGCGAUCUCGAUUUUGCAACGGUCAAAACAAAAUUUGUGGGUCCCACAUGUCAGUGCAAGACCCGGUGCACGCGCCCGGUUACACCAAACACCAAACACCUCCCCACCACCAAACAAAUGAAAACCAAAAGCCUCCACAAUCUUGCUGUAGAAGAAGCCGCAGCUCCCCCAUUACACCUACCCCUAACUCUACCCCCAAAAACUACCCCGACACUCCAUGAAACCAACACCGAAGCAAAUGACCUACAAAGAGACAUAUCAUAUCGGUGGCAAAAAGAUCAGAUUGGAUCGAGUCACGUUUAAAAAUGACAGAAAAUCGAGUUGAACCGAAUCACAAUCGAGACUUGUAGACGUUAUAUUUAUACAUUUUAAGUGAAUUGAUUGUGUCAGUGCGAAAGGUAAAUGAUAUCCCACAGAACUAUGGAUACAGGAAUCAAAGAUUAGCUUGGUACCGUGUUAUUGAAAAGAUCGAUCUAAUAGAAAACAAACAACACGAACAAAGAGAGAGGAGAGAUUGGGGGGUGGCAUUAAUGUGUACCUGUCGAACGCAAGUAGGAGGGAAAUAAAUGUCCAUGGCGAGGAUACCAACGUUCUUCCUCUCCCCUUCCAUUUUCUUCCCAAUUUUACUCCUUCUAUUUGAAUCCCACCACCUGUUUGUUAUAAUUCCUCAAAGAAAAAGAAGAUGAUGACGAUGAUGAAUACGAGCGAGAGAGAGGGAAAGAGUAAAAAGGGUUUCCACCAAGCGCG